UCUAGGUGUUUAUUAAUACCACUGGUAAUCCUUAAGUAUACAUUAACUGUUCAAUUAUUAACGAGACACGCUACUGGAGUAUGCGAAAAAAGAAAGGGAUAUAGGAGAGAUAGAUAGAUUGGGAAUUUUUGGCGGUACACGAUACGUGGCGGGCGUGCGAAACGUUGCGAAGUGACGUCACCUCGCCUCGUCCCCAUCGUCUUAAUUUAUUCGACAAUGGCCGGCGAGCGGAGAGGAACCGUGGGCAAACCUCCAAUCGGAGAUGGACAGAGAUCAUCAGAGUGGAGGAGCGUGGAAAGGAGCCGUCGGGAGAGGCGCGCGUAACGUAACACGCGCACGCACACAGUCGCGAGUCGCGCGAAUUCCCCCACGAUGGUAACGUAAUCGUUUUCUCCGGGGCUCGAUGACCGAUGACACGUUCCUGUUUCCCCGGGUCGAGGAGAGAAACAGAGAGACCGGCCAGGUUUUAAAGUUUCGGAUCAAGGUCGAAAGAUGGGAGAGGAGAGAAGGAGGAGAGGGAGGGAGGAUGGAUGGAUGGAUCGUCCGCGUUGAGCAGAGAUAGCCGGUGUAAAAGCAACGUUAAAGCCGUAGACGACCAAAGCCUAGUUGGCUUGGGUCGACGACCCCCUGCGGACGUUCACCGACAAGCGUUCGCCUCUAUGUUCGCCGGUGUACUCACUCCGGCUCUAAUUGACCGACAAACGCGCUACGAGGUUUGACCGUGGCGGGACGUGAUUCGUUGGACCAGAAAGAGAGAGAGAGAGAGAGAGAGACUAGUCCAGUUUCCCAUUGGCUUUUAUCGGCUUCGAAAAUCUUCUGUGUUAGCCACCGAAGGCGAGGUGGCUUUCACCGGCCCGAGCCAAACAAACAUCGUACAAGUUUCUUCUACGUGGAAAAAUCCGUGGAAGCCCGGGGAAUAUAGCGGGGAAAGAUCGGAUAAGAACGAAUUCCAGCGAAGAAAGGUUUCGAGCGGAACGCGUUAAACGCGUUACGUGAACGCUAAUUGCAAGGAUUGCAAAACGAAUUACGAGAGAGAGAGAGAGAGAGAGAGAGAAUAGUUCUUUCGCGUCAACGUUUCAUUUAACCUGAAGAGAAGAAUGCAUCGGGUAUCCUUUGUCGAGUAAUAAUACUCGAGGAGCUUUACUCGUUACGGCGAGCGAGGGAGGGAGGGGGAAGAAGGGAGGAGGGCGACGACCACCUACGACCAUCUUUUCUCUCUUUUUCUCUCUCUCUCUCCCUUACCAUCAUUAACUUUGACCAUAAAAAUUAUCCCUUAACGAACACAACGAUCUGUGUCUAAAUAAAUAGGCAUUGUUCCGUGUAGGUUGUUGCUCCGCGUAGAAACUUGAACCAUUCACGACACGCUCUAGCCCUCCGAGUCAGCGAUGCGUUUCGGCUAUUAACCUCUUCCGGAAGCGAGCCCGAGCUUCGCAGCCAAGGCCACGGUUACGUUGAUUGUUCCAUACGCGCGAACCUUGGACAGCCCUCCCCUCCUCCCCUCCCCUCCCUCUCCGCUUCUCCUCCGAUCUACAGGUUGCAUCCUUUAUCGUUCCUUCCUUCGAGUUCGAUGAAUUUUGGGAAGGGAAAAAAAAGAAUUCUUGCCCGAUUUCGUGGUAAAGAAGAACACAGACGAGCGUCGCUUCAUCUCGCGAUUCUUUGAUCGUGUUUAAGUCAUCAGAUAUAAAUCGAACAAACUGUUGUUAAAUAUCGCGUGGACGUAUGAUAUGGUGAUGGAUAGGACGUGUGAUGACGCAGAAUAUUUUUCCGGAUGUGGAGAAAAAUUUGAAAAUCUCGACGAGAGAGAUCCAGUUUCGAUCAACUUUGACCUACUUCCUUACCGGUGUAGACAUUUGGAGCAUCAAAAGCGGAGAAUUGAAACUGGAGAAACCGUGUUUGUCUUUCGACCGUGUUUUCUUGCCAAUUGUAAUCCUAUUCGAGGAAGAAUCGUCCUAAUUCUCUCGAUCGUCAUAAUAAUAACAAUAUUGUGAUCGAUACGUCUAACAAAGUGUUUAACAACACCGUAUACAUUCCACGAUAUUGAUCGACGACCUGACCCAUGCGACGAUACGAGGCGAGAUACAAUGGAUCGAUGGAUGCUCGAACACCCCCCGCUGGUGUUCCAUCUUUCCAUCUUGUCCACCGUCGAUUAAGUUUCGAUUCGCUCAACGACGAGUUUUUCAUUUCUCCAACAAGUGCGCUAGAGAUUAAGAGGGAGAGAAAGGUGGUCGGACGAGACAGGGUCAUGGUUUGGCGUGUCCGACGCGUGAUCGACAGGAGAAGCGCAGAAAAGAACGGGUUGUCGAGAGGCUGCUCGAUUCGCGCGGCACAAUUUUGAAUGGAAAGUUGCAGCGGGAGCCAUUAGCCCGCAGAAGUCAUUAGUGCCCUCGAACUCGGAGGAGGAAGAGGUGAAAACGAACGCCUAAAUGGAAAUCACGGUGAUUGCGUUUGAAAAGGGGGUUGAAGGGGAAAAAAAAAUGGGGCUGAAGCUCGACACACAGAGAACAGGGAAGGGGGACCACCGUUUGAUUUUGGGCAAGGGUUGGGAAACAAUGGCCGAGAACAUUGUUGUAGGUGAGAGAAGAGGGCUGGGAUACGUUCCUGGAAGUGUGACUCACUGUUGAAUACGUAAGGUUUCCGCCGGCGGCUUACAAAUCCGCGCUACAAUACCGGCCUAUUGAUUCCUCCUCCUCUCUCUCUCGAUCUCUCUCUCUUUACACGCUCGAGUAUCCACACGCUGAAGAGAGGAAUCUGGCACGAGUCGACCGUGACAAUCGUUGCCAGAUUUUUCGAAAACCCUCCUUCCGGGCAUUAUCCCGUCCUUAAUGGCCGAGUUUUCCGCGCUUCCACCAAUCCUCGUGCUCGCCCCACGAUCUUUCCGCUCUCGUAUUCGCUGCUAAUCGAAUGUACACGAGCUCUACUACGACUACGAGAUAUACAGGGUGGAGAAAUGGAUUAAAGGUUUGGGCUAGAGUUUGGGAGGGAAAUUCGGGGCUCGUAUAACAGGUAUUUCAAAGAGCGCGAUUGCCCGUUAAAAAGUGUGGGGAGCGGAUACGUAGUAGCUUAUCAAAUCGCGGUAGGCGGAAGAUAAGAGGAGGAGGUUUGGGGAAGAAAUGGCGCGGGGAGAAUGAGAAGAGAAUUGGCGAGGAGCCCGUGGUUCGAUUACCGGCGGCAAAAGCGGCCCCGCAACGGAGCGUAAUCAGUGAUAUAAGAACCAUUAAGAGCGAGGAAAUAUUCGUUACUAAAUCCCUCCGCAACGCGGUCGUGAAAACGGGUUUAGCCCGGGACGAGGAGGUUCAACGAACUUUCGAGCGUGCUCGUUUGACUUUCAAAACGGCGUGCUUCGAAUGGUAACUUUAACAUUUACUACACGAAACGCGCCUUUCUUUUCUUCUUUCUUUCUUUCUUUCUUUCUUUCCUUCCUUCGACCGGACCGAAAACGAUCGAUCGUUUCGAGGAUCGAAAUUUUUCGACCGCGAUGCUUUUUCGCUCGGUGAAACACCGCUCUCUCUCUUUCUUUCUCUCUCUCUCUCUCUGGAAAGCAGUCCGGCUAAAGCUCGACCAACUUUACGGCCCUGGUGUUGUAUUGUGUCGCGGCAGAUAAAAUAAAACGGAAAAGACAUCGUUCAUUGUCUUUCUUUUUAUUUCUCCCCUUUUCUUGUUUUCAUAGUCGAACAACAAUCACCGGCGCGUGAUUGCACUUUCGACGUGGCGGAACGCGUUACUACCGGCCGACCCUUCCUAAGAGAGGAAGAGAAAUCGUUUGGACGGGCGACGCGAUAACUUUUGUCGUUAAUACAUAGCGUGCGGUGUGUUGUGUUGUGUUGUGUUUCCCUUCGUGUUCUACACGCGUAAAACUCGCGUGGAGCAUGGAAAAAGAUCGAUGUAAUACGGGCAUGAAACGGGUCUCUCUGAAUCGGAGCAUGCAUCCGCCACACCAGCCCUCCCUCCUCUCCUCCCCGCCUCGCAACCGUUUUAUCGUUUCGCAUUGUCACAAUCGCGAGAAACUUUGAUAACAGCGCGGAUAUCGUCGUUGCCGCACAGUUGUUUCGAUAACGCAUUCUAGCUUUCAUUUUAGUCCCACCGUUGACACCGCUCGAUUUCUCCGAUCUUUUAUCACCGAUCCAGACCGAUCUUUUCCACGCGGAUCUAUUACCGAAUCUUGACUCGAGAGAGGAACUUUCGAGGAGGAACAACGUCGAUACAACACAUCCCUUAUCUUACCACACAUCGAAAGGUCAAUAUGCACCGAUUACCAUCGAUCACACUUUACACACACGUACACCGUGAAUAAUAAUAGUUUCGCCCACUUGCGAGCAUAUUAUACCCACCACCGUUUAAAGAUGAUUUCACAUCGUUUCAAAUCGACGAUUAUACCGUUACACGAGUCUGGAUAACGGAGAGGGGAGAGAGAGACGCGAAAGAGACGCGUUACCUAAUCUGUGAAUUUCAUCGCGGGAGAGAGAGAGAGAGAGAGAGAAAAAACAAGAUCGUAUCAAUCAGGGACAGGGAAUCUUGCAAGAUCGCAUCUGUCCCAACCGAAACGUGCUUUUCAAUGCGCGAUCGAUGCUGACGUCAGGGAGAGCUAAGUUGAAAAUGGGUUGCAACUAAUUUUCCGCAUCUUCCAAAAGCCAGGAGUCGUUUGCGAACUUUUCGUUUCGAAAAACGAACGUGUUGCGUCACAGAGAGAGAGAGGGAGAGAGAAAUGUGUUCGCGGCGAGUGGUAACGAACGGUGGAAACUAGAAACGGUAAAACUUUCCACCAGGUUGAAUUGAACCGAAUCUAGAUUUCGGCCUGCACAUUACCAUAUCUCCUAGGCGAGCGCUCCUGUAUUAUUGAUUCCCGAGCAAAUCUAAAGUCGGUAUUCCGUUUCGGUUUGGAGUACGAACCGCCGCCGCCGCCUCUUUGCCGAAGACGAGUUUCGCUGAAAUUUAUUAACAUUUCGCGGCGAGCAACGCCAUUAACUUGCUUUGAUUGCCGCCAAUCUGAAUAUCAACCUUGAACGACCGUUUUACGAGCCCUCGCUGAUAUUUCGCUCGGCUCGAGGCGAACCUGCGCAACAACGCUCGUCCGACAAAAAGCGCGCGUUGGAAGGAAAGGGAAAUUCUCGCCAGUUCUCGAAACAAAAAAGAGAAAAAUCCAAUUUCUUAUUCGAGUCUUAAUCUCCUCGACAGAUUUCGCUUUUCGAUCGACCGACAAGGGAUGAGAGAGAGGAGAGGAGAAAAAAAAAAAAAGGAAGAGAAAAAAAAGGCCUCGGUUCGAGACUCGGUGGGAAAUGCGGCGUGAAAAGCGGGACGCGUGGUAUCGAUGAAUCGAAAAAAACCGACGACGAGACGACGAGGAGGAGCGGGGAGAAUCCGUGAAACCUGGGCUGUUUGCGUGAAAUAAAAGUACAACGACAAAUAGCGGAGAAGCCCGUUACUUAACCGCUUCGGAGCACCGUUAACUCACCUGACUGCGUGUAUGGAAUAUACAGGGUGUCUCCUCCGUGUAUAUCCUCAGCGUACGUAUAUAUUACGACACGGGACGAUGAUUCUCGAUCGAUCUAAAUGCAUCAUCGUGUAUAUAUUAAUUGCUCCACGAUUCCAAUUGUAUUCGCGCCCUACAAUUAAUUACAAGAAAAGUCUGGCGUUUUCUCGACAACAACGGCGAGAUUAAUUGAGCCGAACGGCCUUUUAUCACGAAUUUCCUCUCGAAUCGAUCGUUCCAGAGAGUUCCAGAGAGCGGAAAGGGAGGGGAAAGAGAGAGGACACGAGUCACGAUCAGGGGUCUGUUUUAUCGUCGGACUACGACAACUCUUUUGCAACAACGGGAAUGAAUAUUAUAUUCGCUGGAACAACUGAAUUCCGGUUUACUUUUACAGAAGGCGAGCUCGAUUCGAGAAACGGUCGGGUUCGAUAGCUAUCACGAAUAAUCGGGGACGCAACAAUUAAAAACGAUAUGAACGAGGAAGGAGAGUCGAAUGAAUGCAGCAGAAUGGAUUAUUCGUUCCUCGAGGCGUUCCACGUUCCGUCUAUCGACGGAAAGAAGAAAGAAGACGAAGAAAGCGAAGAUAGCAAUCCAGGAUGAAUUCUCAUUUCGGAUGGAAAGAGGUCAAGGGUCGAGGGUGUCCGAUUGCAGCCACGAUUUCCAGAGACGUCGAUCGUUUCCUGGAAUUAGCGCCGCUUUCAACGGCGUACGGUAUCUCGAGCGGCGUACAAGGCCGGAAUUCGCAUAGCUUGCCGGCAUUUCGCUCGCAGAUUUGACCGAGUCAUGAACUUGGCCAGUAUUCCAGUCCGGUUUCCCGUUGACCGUAACGCGGCUGCGUUCGUUCCGCGACGUGAAAUCGCGUGCAGACGUUGUACGAUUAAACCGGCGGAAUGACUAAUUAAUCGGGGAGAAAACGUCGUUGCGUGUUCGGCCGCGAUACACCUCGAUUCAAAGGAGGAAGGGAGAGAGAGAGAGAGCGAUCGAGGGUUCGAAGGACAAUUGGGUGGAAAAUCGGAGGAAAGGAACGUUUGGAGCAGGAAAGUUUUCAAAUACUUUUUUACCCGGUGGUUUGGCUUCGCGGUGGACAACGAACAAGUGGUUAACAGCGUUGUAAAAGCUGCUGUUGUUUCACAAUGGCCGCUACCGUUCGUUCCAGAUAACGAGGCCUCCCCCUCCCCAUCCCGCUCACCAACUUUCUAAGCCGUGCGGCAAAAGCAAGGGGUCCGAUCUUUCCGUUCUUUUCCCGGUACGAAUCACGCGAUCGCGGGGCCCCAGGUACGCCACGCCACACGUACACGCGGCGUGCCCGAGAGUGUUUGCGUGCCGGUUGCGGAGAACCGCUGGUGUUAAUGUUCCAUCGGCAGAAACCGGUUCCCCAGACACCGGGAAUCGAUCGAAUUGACCCAACCUCGCUCCACGCACGAUACCCUCCUGACUUUGUACCGUUCACCAACCAGCCACCGAAAUGAAUCGUUCUUUUCGCGUCGCGUGUCUCGUUCUAACGUCAUCCGGCAAGAGCGUACGAUGUAUAAUCCGUCGCGAUGCGAUUUAUCGAGACACAAGGAAAAUAAUGAUAAUAAAUAAAAGGAAAUAACGUAAGUUUGAAACGUAUUAUCGAAUGUUUGCGCACGGGAUAUAUAUAUAUAUAUAUCCGAACAGGUUGAACACGACGUCGAAACCUAAUAUAUACAGCUGGAAACGAAGAGGAAUAAUACUCGGCUUACUUUUACGGAGUGCAGACGCGUCAUGGUCACCCGUUCCCUACCUACCCAUAGUUAUAUACCGUUACUUACGAAACCUCGGCGAAUCCGAACGGUUAAAAGGCGAUCUCGUUCACGAUAGACGCGAGUUUUCGUGGGACGGAAAAAAAAAUGAACGGGUGGAACGGGUUCACAAUUAUCGAGCUAUAUAGUCCAUAGACGUAUCCGCCAUCGGACCCUCCGAAGACAAUGGCUAUUGUAACCGUCUAUUCGUGGUUCUCUCUCUCUCUCUCGCUCUCUCUUCGGUCUCUCGGCACGCACCGCGGCCUCUCCCGUUAUAAGCGCUACCUACCCUAGUUUGCAAAAUUCAAUUAAAAUAAACUCUCUCUCGUCGGGACACGCGUCCUCUCUUAUCGGUGAGGGACAAUCCCACGGGAGGAGAAAAAAAGGGAAGGAGGAGAGAGAGAAGGUGGAAAGGAAGUGAGAGAGAGAGAGAAAGAGAAGGGACGAAGGCAAACUCGACGAAGGAGAACUCGCGUGAUAAGGGUUGAAGCCACACCUUGAUACCAGAUACCCCUUCGCGGUAGCUUUUAGCCAAAUGACGCGGAUUUUAUUAUUGGAUGGCCUUUAAGGGUGCGGCCAGGUUAUCCUACCAUAGUCUAAUGGGCCGUUAACCAGCCCCACCUUCCUCUUGGCAUUCUUUUUCCUUUUUUUUUUUUCACUCGUUAUGCGUCACGUAAAAAACACGGGUCGACCUCUGACACGCGACUCCAUCAUAUUCAUAAAAAAAAAAGAAAGAUCCACGAGAAGGAUCCUUUUUUUUUACCCUCAACCAACAACCCUUCGUGUCCUCUCUCUCCAUUCGAAUCCGAGAUUCACGUGUCGCGAGAAAAGUAGUAGCACGGUGAAUGAGGCGAAAUUAGGGAUGGCAAAUUGGCUCGUGGCUGACGAUAUUACUUCGAGAGAGGGAGAGAUGAGCAGAGAGAGAGAGAGCGUAGCUUUUGGAACGAGAGUAAAAUUGAAUCGGUAACGAUGAAAGAAAUCGAAAGCGCGUCCUCCUCCCCUCGAAAUCUCGGAAAUGGGAAUGUACGAUCGUGUUUGAACAAAUAUACAGGAUCCGUGAAAGAUCGGUCGUGAAAGCGUGUCGGUGGGAAAAUAUUCCAACGGCGAAACCAACGGCGUGUAAUUGUUCCCGAGGAGAAAAAUCGAUUGGCGAAGAAAUUCGAAAGUUGGAGACCGAUUUUGUCGCUGGAACGUGAAUGACGUUCGAAGAAUGGAAAAACCGUGAAAGAAAUUAGAGGAAGUCCAGCGUGGAAGCGUACAAGAAAGCGUGUCGUUGGUGGAAACCGUGCCGAAUACUUGCUCAUCAACACGAGAAUAAUUUCUAUCCGAGAGAAAUAUUCUUUCUCCCAUUCCAAUAUCUUACCAUCCCCUGUUUACAACAGAAAAAUAAAGAAACACCUUAUCGAUUACAUUCAAAAUAAUUUCGAAAAAAUGUUUCAAUAUUCUUCUAAUCCUCUCGGAUCGUCCAAUCAGUUCGAUCCUAUCGCAAUCUUGAAGCGAGUGUCGAUUAACGCGACAAAGUAGAUCGAAAACGUACAAGUGUUAAAAAUAAUAUAUUGGCUGGAACGAAUUCGUCGAUGCCUCGGUUCGAUACCGUUGUUGAUUGGGGGAGGAACAACCCCUUUCCCCUUCGCCGCCCAAUUCCCUGCGCAAAUUUCGUUGUCCGGAACGAAGUCCACGUUUUCGAGACGACGUGGACUUGGCGGCGAAGGAAACUUGGGCGGAGGAAAGAGAGCGAGGUGAGCCAAUUAGUUUUAUUAAGGGGGAGAGAAGAGAAAUCGGCGUGGGCGUCGUGGCAACGUUAGACGAGCGAGGAAGGUCUUCCCUCGAUGGCGCCGCCGCCGCCGCCGCCGAUUUUAUUAGACCGUUAUCGUCCACCACCAGACGGAAUAUUUGUCUUCGGCUUCGCCUUUUCGCCGUGCCGGCCACUCUUUUGCCCGACCUUCUGCCUGCCACGCGGCCAGCAGGCCUGUGUUACGCAGUGGAACACGACACUCUCUGUAACGCUCUAUUUUCACGUAAGCGCGGUACACGCGUCAUCCAUCCACGCCCACGCGAACGCGCAUUCGACGUCACAUUCACAGUCUUCCUCACGAGCGGGGAAGAAGGCAAGUCGUUAUAAGAUUUAUCGGAUAACGAUGACCCGAUAAAAUGACUAAAUGGGCGAACUGGAAUCGAAAUGGAACGGAGAAGGGUGGGGAUAUAUAUCCACUUCUCACGAAACGUUCAAAUAGCAACAUCGGCGUAUCAAUAUUUGCCCGUCCCGAGGCGCGGUUUACCUUUUCUUACCGUGCGCGCCGCGGAAGCGUUAUCGAACACGAUAACGCCCGCCGUUGCGUCUAUCAAUUCUCUAAUCUCUCUCUAUUUCUUUCUUUCUUUUUUUUUCGCACGAGUUCGCUCCAUUUUCCCCUGCUGCUCCCGUUCCCAAGAUUCGUCACGCCUAUCCGAUCCGCAAUCGGCGAAGAGGAGGAGGAGAGGUUGUGCUCGUUAUGAACGGGAAUCGAUGAAUUCGUAAUCGUAAGCGUACAUCGAGUAGAAAGGGAGGGGAAGAGGGUGGAACACUGUCGAGCAUUGGCGAGGAAAAGAGAAAAAAAUAAAUAAACGACAAUAAACACACGGAGGAACCGAUUAAUAUCAGCGAAGAUAUCGGCGCUGAUACCGAGUGGAAAGAGAGAUAGAAAGAAGGGGGAAUAAAGAGAGAGAGAGAGAGAGAGUAGAGAAACAGGUCCUCGAGUAUGGGAGUUGAUUUUAAUACCCCCUAGGGAGAGAGGGGUUGUGGAUGUGACCUUUAUGAAAUGCUACAACCUUUGUAAGCCCUGAUUGCACUUCUUCAUAUAUACACAGGGUGGCGCGCACACGUAUUUACUGGCACACGUUCACGCGCGAGAUACGUGGACGAGCGCGGUAUGAAAGCGCGAGCACGUCGGAUCGCGUUGUACGUGCACACAAAGCGGGCCUAGACACCGGUCUUAGGAUCGUCUGGUUUGCGCACCGACCAUUGUUUUUUCAAAUACACACGUCUCCUCCGACUAUACGUGGUAAUCGCGAUCCACGAGAGAGAGAGAGAGAGAGAGGUGGAUAAAAUAAGGGGCGGUGUAUCGAAGGUGAGCCAUCCAAACGAUCGCGCCAACGUAUUUGUGUGUAUACAUGCGUGUAUAUAUCGCGCAGACUACGACGACGACGACGGCGGCGACGACGUGGAGGAGAAUUAUCGAUCGAUGGAAAUGGUGCCUCCACGUGACGUUUACAUACGUUUAGAUAAGUUUACGCGUUCACCUAAGAAGACCUGUCGCCAAUCCGAGAGAACGCCUCGAAUCUGGCUUCUCCCUUUGGAAAUUACCGCCAGUUUGUAACUUGCUUCGGGAGAGAGAGACGGGAACUUUGGACGGACGGAAGAGUAGCUGUUAGAUUUCAUCGUCAUCGCCUGCGCGCGCGCCACGAGGCGAGUUCCUAUUUCGCAUUUCUUCUUUUUUUCUUUCUUCUUUUCGCGAAAAGAGAACGAUAGAUUUCUUAGGGAUCGUGUUCGAUAGGAUCGUUUCCGUUCUUCGAAUAUUUUUUUUUUCUUUACGGCAAGAGAGAUCGAUCGUUUCACUAUCUGAGGCGUAAAAAAAAAGAAAGAAAGAAAGAAAAUCGAGGCUGAUAGGAAGGUUCGCGGAAAAAGAGGUUGUAAUCAGCGUAAAUAGAAAUGAAGGGAGCAAAGGAAGCGGCGAGAAAAUUGCAGGAAUAUCGUUCCAACUUGGAGCUCCGCUGCGAAACAACGGUACUUCCGCGAUCGUAAACGUUGCUUGACCGUUAAGUUGACUCUUUUCGCUUCGUUCAGAGGCCCCCCUCUCUCUUUCUCUCUCUCUCUCUCUUUCCCCUCUUCUACUUCUUUUCUCGGUAUAUCUAUGCGACCAAAGAAGACGUGAGAAUUAUUCAUAACGGCGAGGAAUCGUGAAAAUAAAAAUAAAUUGUGAACCGGUCGAACCGGGCUAUCGUAGAGAGGCGACUUCUCUUGUGAAAGAAACGUAGGCGCUGCAAUUCGUCGAUUUAUUUACCAAUCCUCGAAAGAUUACGUAAGCGAAAGGCGGUGGGUUCUCUUUGCUAAAAAAGAAAGAAAGAAGAAGAAAAAAAAAAAAAAAAUCCCAUCAAUAUUCGCCGCGUGUUCGAGUCAAUAUACCAUCCGCGAGAUAGAAUUUAAUUUUGUUUCCUUUUACGAAAGAACCUUCCGGCUUAUUACCUCGGUCUCAAGGCAAACUAUCCGUCUAUCCGUCUCCCUUUCUCCGCCCGGCUUUCUCCUCCUCCUCCUCCCUAUCCCUCUCCCUCUCCCUCUCCUUCCUCUCCCACCGCCGGGACAAACCUCGGUUAAACUUCCAUCGAACAAGUUUCAAAUGGAAUUCUUCUGUCGGCCGUUAAUAGCUCGAUAGGAAAGAAAUCCGUGGUGGUAUCGAAACGAAGCGGAAUAAAGGAUCGAAGGCGGUUGGCGGCGGUUGAUGGGCUAUGAAAAGCGUCGCGCGGCCGCCCGUACAAUGCCGGUUUAAAUGAAACACGUGAAAAUACGCGAUCCGUGAACGCGGCACAAAGGAGGAGGGGGAGGAGGAGGGUAGUAUCGCGUGAACGUAGCGUCGAAUAAUAAAUCCCUCCCCUCGAUGUAAUAAACGAAAGUGGGAUCGCGUAAUACCUAUCAUCGUGCGAACUCCUCUUCCUUUGAACAGGUACACGCUCGACGACGCGUGGCGUCGCGCCGCUCCAGACCAGAGAGAAACGAUCGAAUUUCACGUGUGCGGCCGGCAAACCGAUUCGCGCCGCCAUCCAAUGAAACGUGGGAGAUGAAGAAGGAAACCUCGAGAAGAGAAUCGAACGAAUUCUUCGAUUCCUCGAAGGGGACAGAGAUUUUCUUUUUCUCAUAAAUAUCGCGCGCUCUGAUCGGGAGAAGAGAAGACUGCCUCUCGUGGUUCUGUAAUUUCCAACGCGUUUGCUCGGAAUUAUCGUAGCUACGGCUCGGUGUAAAAUGACAGGAACGAAGGACGACGGGGAACGAGACCGUUUUGUAUUCAAACGUCGAGGGAGGAGGGAUCGAUAAAAACGGCAGCUCUCUCGAGCGACCUGUAACGAUUAUUAAUCGUGGAACGUAUUAACCACGACACGUCUAUGCGUCGUUCGUUCGUUUUCUUUCCGAGCGCGGUUGGAGAAGUAAAGAGAGAGAGGAGGAGGGAAGGAGAAAGAGAGAGCGGAAGAGGCGGUUUCCGGAGUGAAAAAAAGCUAGGAGCGGAAAUUCGUCGCGAUAAGAAUAAUCGAGUCCCGCGAACCAUCGGCCAGAGGUCUGUUCCUCGAGGUCGAAGGAACUCGUUAGGGAAUUAAACGAGGCUUCUUGUUAUUAACGAAACGUUUCGAAGCAAGAUGAUCGUUUCCUCGAUUCACACGUGUGACGCAUAUGACGCAUGCGCGUUUUAUAUAUAUAUAUAUAUAUAUAUGAAUUGCUCGAGCUAAUUAGAAAAAUUCAGUAAGAUGAUACGGUAAGAUAAGCUGCCGUCCUCUUCUUCGAGAACUCGAUAACAGAGGAGAUAUUCCUUCCGCGAAAUAACGCGACAAAAAUAUCAAUCUCCGAUUACGGUACGAUUUACGAUUAAAAAAUUUUCUAUUACUCGAUCCGAGAUUCCCGAAGUGUAAUCUCGAAUUAAAUUUGAACCACGGUCGCGAGCUAAAAAUUGUCCGGCCACAAUAUUCGAUUACACGACGACGCGUAUAUAUCUGCCUCGAAUUCCCCGGUUUUGAUUUUAACCGCGCGCGCGGAGGGGGAAAAAAAAGAAAGAAAAAUGGUCGAACGAAAGUUGAUCGACCGAGAGGCGAAAACGAAACGAAAUUAAAACUAAAGCUAAAGCUAAACUUCCUACCACGUGUCCACGUUCUUUCUCGAUCUCCAGAUAAAUCAAUCCCACGAUAUUCUACGCGGGUGAUAAUACGAGGAUGAAAGGGGAUCGAGAAUCUCGAGCACGGAUCUAGCGAGGGAGGGGGAGAAACUACUAUUCGCCAAGUGACUAAACUAGCCACCGUGGUAAAGCGUUCGAUGGGCUCUGCUGGUUAUAUCUCCGGAGCGGCUGAAGAAAAGGCUGGCAACGUGAGAGUGCACGUUGAAGGAGCGCGCUAUCUCAUCGUGGUCGCUUGCUCAGCGGUAACGCGAGACUUGCUGUGCGGUAACAAGAGCUGCCCCGGUAAUUAUUACAUUCCCUUCGUGAGACGUAUUAAACGUAAGGUAGAUUCGAAUGGAAGGAAGUGACGGCGAAGUCUCGGCCGGAACCCGUGAAUUAUCGCGUCUCUAUAAAAGGACGGCGCGCUACCAGAAAACUGCCAGCUUUAUCGUCUAAUUAAUCCUUAUUUAUAUCGACCAAUUUGAUAACCGGUCUUUAUUUACACGCGAUACGAGCCGAUAUCGAGGGAGGAGGAGCGAGCCAAGCGAUCGUUGAAGCGACGACGAUCCUCGAGUGUGUCGAGGCAAUACGGUGACGUUCCCUUCUUACAAUUUCACGGCCGUACGAAACGGUGUAAAAUACGAGAUCGAUAUAGAGGCGGCGGGCGUCGAACCGUGACAAGCGGCGCGAUUAUCGAAUGGAAUGCGGCGUAACCUUCGAGCGAACGCGAAAAUCGAAACGCGUUGCUGGAACCAACACCCCCGCCCGCCCCACGUUUUUCCACGCGGCGGAAAUUUCAGAAUCUGUUAUCGAAGACGGAACUUUGUUCCUCUUAUAAAUGGGCGGAACAUGGGAGCGCGGGACACUCGAAUGAAAUAUUCCACGCGACUAUGUGUAAACGUCGGGUCUCCAAUUUAUUUGAAAGAGAAAAAGAAGAAAAGGAAGAAGAAAAAAGAGAGAGAGAUUAGAUUUGGAACGAGAGAAGAGGGGAAACAAUAGGGAUCUAUAACUUUUCGAAAAGUUGGUUUAACAAUCCGCAAGAGAGAUGUUACAUAUUUUAAUCCGUUUUUUUCGCGAUAGAAAAAAGAGAAAAAGGCUCGACCACGGCUCGAUUCGCGAAGGCCAGUCCGAAAAGGAAAUAAUGUUAAUUAGCGCGGGGCGUAGCACUUUGGCUGGAGUUCAUCGUCGCGUUUUCACUUUAAAAUCCCUGGAUAAAAGUCCCAUUUUCCCCCUCCUUGCUGUUUGCACGACGCUUCACGCGCGUUCCUAUCCAAUCUCCCUGCGUCUCUCUCUCUCUUUCGACGCGAGAUCGGAAUGAAAAGCGAAUCGCCGCCGAACCGCGCCGAUUUCACCGUAGAAUGAAUCGUACCGAUAGAGCGUACGAGUCUCUAAGCGAGAUAUGGCUGAAAGUGCAGCCUUGAAUUCACGGCAAAUCAGUCGUAUGCAUAAUAAAGCGACAUCCCAUGGAAACCCUCUCUCUCUCUCUCUCAAUAUCUAUUUCACUUUCCCGCCGCGCGGAAAAGAAAAACGAUCGCCCGCCAUCGUUUUUCCCCCUUUUUUGUAUCUUUCUCGAAUUGGCAACGAUCUGUGAACCUUACAGAAGAAAGAAUACAUACCACUACCAGAUCCGAUUUCGAGUUGGAACCGAGGGAUUUUAUCGAGAAGCUAUCGUUCUCGCUUUCCUCUUUUUAUUUAGACGAGCUACCACCACGUUGAAAAGAGAGAGAGAGAGAGAGGAAAAGUCCAGGCGUUCGAAUGUUUAAAACAUUCCUCGUGGAUCGUGGACACGACCGAGUUUCGAGGAAGCGGAGGCGGAGGGGAAGGUGGAAAAGCGAGCGACGAUCGAUCGCGCUCGAAACACUUUCACGGCGAAAAGGACGCGGAAGUAGAUAAGGACGAAACGUGUCAAAAGGAAGGCGGGAAUAACGAAAGCGCGGUUGCAAGCAGCUCGCGGUCCUCGACAGCUGGCUCGGUUUUCUGGCUAGUCGAUGCACAGACAAUGCGCCAUAGAAAUUGCCAGAUGCAUCUACAAGUGCCACCCGUUCCGGAAAGGAAAACGGCGUCGAAAUACGUGCAGGUUCCACAACGUUCCCUCCUAUCGAUCGCGCGCAUAUACGUGUGGAUCACGUGUAGAACCGUGUCCUCGUCGUUUCGCCUCGUCGAUCAAUCUAAUCGCCGCACUUCUGCACUUUUCCCUUCUCUCCUUUUUUUUUUCCUCGAUAUCGAUCCCCGGUAAUCGAUAUCAUCCGAUAGAUCGGAUAACGAAUUGCUCGAUCGAGAGAGUAGAUAAUUUUCUGCUAGAUAAUAAAUAUUUUAAUACGCGAAGAGGCGACUAUUGAUAAAUUAUUAGAGGAAAUUAUAUAUAUAUAUGUACCGUGAAAAGGGACAGGUUAAAUCACUCGGGGAAUCCGCGUUUUCACGCGUUGAAAGUGGCUCGUUUCCCGCGCACAAUCGAACAUGUUGACAUUGGCAGUCGCUGCAUAAAUCCUGCGAGCCGCGUAUAAAUAGACCUCUCUCGUUUGCAAAGGAAAGGUCGUUACUGAAUGUACCACCACGAGUUGCAAUGUCUCUCCGGACGGAGAGGGAAACUCGAGAGGUGGAUGGCUCUCGAUGACUUAACCGGUGAAGUACGCGAAAACGCGAGUUCCCCUUGCUCCCCCGCGAAUUGGGUCGCGAUAGCAAAAAUAUAUCUUAUGCAAUCGGCGGGGACGAUAUCCGAUCGUUAACGCGAUAAGAAUAAUCUCUGCCUCCGCGCAAAGAAGAAAAAGAAGAAGAAGAAGAAGAAGAAGAAAGAGAAGAGGAGAGGCUUAUUACUUUAAACCUCAUCAUCCGGACGUUUAAUAAUCCGAGGCCGAUUACAACGAGAGGAGGUUUAUCGAAAUGGAUUCUCUUUUUUCCUGGGUUGGCAUACUUGCGAGCUGAAAGGAUCGUCGUCUUGAGAACUCCUCGAGUUCCGGGAGUCUCUGAGGAGCGAGAAGAGGCGAGCGGUUUGUGCAAUAGCCGAUGCAACGGUAUCGAAGAAAGACAGGGGAGGAGACGAGGCGAGGGGAGGGGAGGAAGACGGAAAAGGGGAGCCUCGAGAAGCCCUCCACCGUGUUCUUAGCAUUCCAUCGAGAAUCGUGGCUCGCGGUUAGACUAACCACCGAGUGUAUACACCAAUCGCGGAAGAAGAGGGCUUUUGAAAGACGACGAAAGGAGCCGAAAAACCCGACCGUUCCACGUACACAGAGAAACACGCGCCAUUGACGCGCCUCCAUAUAUACUUCGAUAUAUAUAUAUAUACAAAUUUUCCCUAUAGGAUUGCUGAAAUCCAAUUGGCGUUAAACGCGGAUCAACUACCGAACUACCCUUCCUCCAUCGAUCGUAUCUAUCAAGCGUCAUCUCGUUACCGAACGUUUCCACGCUUAUCCCAGCUUUCGUACGUCUUCAAAAACGAUUAAUCGCACGACUCUUGCCUCGAGUAACGAAAUAUUUCCCGCGCCAAUUUUCGAAAUUGGCGCUAAUUUACAUACCUACGUACGUAUAUACACGCGCGCGCCAGGAUAUAUCGCGGAAUAAGAAAGAAGCGAUCAAGAGAGGGAGGGAAAUCCGGUGGAAUGGAAUUGUUUUAUGGGGAGAGUUGCGGGGAGAGAGUUGUGCGUAAAUCGGGCUCGGCGCGAUAAUUAAAUUUCCACAGCGCGGUGGAGGGAAAGUGGUGAAAAGAGGCGAAAAGAGGCUGGUAGGCGCAACUCGCGGACCAAUUAGGAAGAAUUUAACUUUUCCCCACAAUGGGGGUAAACGUAAAUCGAGCUCGGUAUACCUCGAAACCGAGGCGUGGCGUUAACUUCGUUUUACGAGGUUCAUUUGUUUUCACCUCGGGCAUACGCUAACUUCGAUAUAUAUAUAUAUAUAUAUAUAUAUUUCCUUGCCCUUUCUCCUCCUGCUUCUUCCCUUCCCCCGUGCAACUUUAAAUUUGAUCGUCGAAUGGAAGAAUCGACGUGUCUGCACGGGAAACGCGGUCAAACCUUCGCUCGGCAACGAAUUACAUAUAUACAUAUAUAUAUAUAAUAUGUAUAUAUAUAUACACACGUAUAUAGAGGUUCUUUUGUCCAGAUUAGGAUCGGGAACUACUUUGCGUGCUGGCGAGUACGGCCAGUACACCGGCUCAAGGUGGGGCAAUAAUUAGAUUUUCAGGGACGAAGGAAGCCAAGAACGAGGCAGAGGUUUCGUAUAUCGUCUUCGCGUCGCGACGUCACCGAGAAGAAAAGAGACGGAAAGAGAGACGAAGAGGAGAGGAUCUGUUCUCCACCGAUGACGAACGACGAUCUUUUUCCCUCUCGAGGAGAAUGAUUACGGAGAGUAUAGAGGAAAAUCAUUAUCGUGUGCAUGGUUGGGAGAAAGGGGCAGCCGGCGUGAUAAUUAAAUUUCCAUAGACGAAGACUGCGGGUGAAAAGGUGGAACGAGAGGAAAACUGUCGGCGGAUGGAAGAAGCUCGGGAGGGUAAAAGGUUGGAAUUAUGGUAAACUAUGUUCCCCCUGCGACUUUCGUCGUUACGAAUUAAGUCACGCUACGCUGCGUACACCUUCUCUCCUCCACCCCGUUUUUUCCUCCACUCCUCUCCUCUCCCGCGGCACCCGAGUAAAACGUCCAAUGUCAAAAGUCGAGAGCGAAGUUUUGAAAAACAAAAAUUUUCCAAUUAUCUCGCGGUUUUAUUUAUUAUUUUUAACGCGAAAAAACCGGUUCGUUGCAAAAUUCUAAUCGACGUCAUUAUCGUGCGCGCGAUAUCAUCGACGCAGAAGGAAAGAGAAAAUAUAUAUAUAUAUAUAUAUAUAUACACGACAAACAAUACGCCUUACAACAUUUCCUCGAUGUGUGACACAUCGUGAGAGAAAGAGAGAGAGAGAGAGAGAGAAUCGGCGUCGUCAAUGGGAAAAACGGCGCGCAGAAAGCGCGGCGGAAAAACCGUGACGGAGGCGGUUUUGGAUGAAGACAAAUAUAUCGGAGAGGUAUUAUAAAGUAUGCGGCGAAACACGAUGCGGUGUUUGCACGCGAGCAACGAGAUAAAUCGUGGCUAAAGCUCGCCCCGACUGCUUAAACAUUUACGCGUUGAUAAAACACAUUUUCCCGCUGUUAUCGCGAUGGUAAAUGAUUCGAAUAUUAUAUGCGGCGGUGAUAAACGCGGCGCUGGAAGGGGACCCGGGGGAAAUGCUGAUGAAUGAAAUCGAACGAAGGAUCCUGGGGAAAAAAAAAUGAAUAGAAGAAGCGUUCGAGCGAUUUGAAGCAUUCUGGAAGGAGAAAAAAAAGAAGAGGAGAAGCGAGGGAUACGAUAGUUUUGGUAAGGUCACGGUUGAGUACAGCGAGUAUCGACGAAAGAGGAGAGGAAUCUCGUGGUGCUCGUUUCGUCGAGUGGUAUUUCGUCGCCGCGCCGCGUUCGAGAGCGGCCGCGUGUCGGAAGUAUCGAGGAUAUUAGCAUAUCGCGUGCGCUUUCACCGAGGUUAUCAAAGACACUCGGCCAUACGUUUCUGCCGUGACACGAGUGUAAGAGCGAGCUCUAUUUGUCGAAAUGCUAAUUAACGAAAGAAAAGGAAAGAAAGGAAAGGAAGAAAAAGUUCUCCGUCGAUAAGAAGAUCGCAUCCGAUUGUAUCGACCGAUUUGACGAAUAAUCGUGCGCACAUAAUUGAACGUGUCGCGAAACUCCAAACAUCGUUAAUAUCAAAAGCGGACGGGCAGAAAGACGGACAGGUCUAACCAAACACCGAACAUUUAUCGAUCCCCUCCCUCCUCCCCUCUCGUAUUUCCAUUUUCAUAAGAUUCCCCUGAUAGAAACGACGAGUCAUUCGACAACGCCAACCAAGUCGUUCCUCCUCUAACGCGGUUAUAAGGACGGGGUAUGCAUAAAUAUGAAUUUGAUGCACGCAACACGGAUCGGUAGAUUAAAAGCGUGAUGGCUCGUUUCGAAGAAUCGAGUCACUUAAUUAAUCGGCGUUAAUUAAGACAACUACAUUGUUACGAACUUAGGAAUCCCGCGCAGCUUGUAUUAUUAAUUACCCAUUUCAUAGAGGCACGCCUGAAUGUUGAAUCGAAUUAAUGCUGCGGCGGGAAGUCGUCGCCUUCCUUCGAGCUUGUGUCUCGACGUGGUUCGAAAAAAAAAAAAAAAAGAAAAGAAACGAAAAGAAAAGGGAAAAAAAAAAAAAAAAAAAAAGAUUGCACGCUUAAAUUUCGCGCAGACGAACAAUACGUAACCGGAUUUCUGCUUCGUAAGACUUUUUAACGACGCGGUCGUUGGUGGUGGAACGUGGAAAAAAAAAGGAAAAAAAAGAAAGAGAGAAAGAAAGAAGGAGAGGGGAAAAAAAAAAUAAAGAUAAAAAUAUGCGCGAGGUAGCCACAAGCGCAAGCUUUCGUCCUCGCUUAGGAUCUCGAUUAGUAUUCCAAGGAGGUGGCGGGAUCGAGUUGCGCUGUGAUCGACGAAAAAUUUUUAAACUCGGUUAACACACUUGCGCACACGACGACGCUACGACACUCGGUGUGCGAGGAUUAAGGAACUCGUAAACGCGAAACAACCGUUCGUUUUCCACGUUGAAAAUUGUCGUCGUGACUCUGCGCGGAUAAAACACCGUAUUCGUUUUCUCUCUUAAUUAUCGAGUGUCUCACGGUCUUCCGCUUUGAGUUCCUCUCGAUUCUUCUCUCUUCUCUAUUUUGUUCUUCUUUCUUUUUUUCUUUCCACAAGGGUGAAUUAAGAAGCGCGGCGGCGGAGGCGGCGACAUCCACAGAACCAAUUUUCUUCCCCCGGAAAAAAAUCCCUCUCCCCUUCCCUCUCCCUCCUCCUGCGAGGGAGGAGAGAAGAGAAAUACCGUGGACGUAGCCGUGUAACCGGUAAUCGGAACGUGAAGAGAAGAGAGUAUCUUUCAACUCAGAAUUGCGAAACGUGUCGCUGAACAUCGGCUCCUCCGUGAUUCGCGGAAAGUCUCUGUGUCCGUGUCUUCGAUUUCUCUUUGUCACACUAAUAUAACGCUCCGUCUUUUCGGAGGGGGAAGGGAAAAAAACGGUUAAAAAACACAACUAAAAAAGUUUAUUGAGAGAAUCUCGAUCUUUCCUAGAGUUCCUUAAAUUUAUUUAUUUAUUUUUUCUUUUUCCUCUCCGCUUCUUUAAUUCGAGAACAAAACUACUCGAGUAAAUUUAUUAUCGGGUACGAUAAACCGCAGGACGAAUUACACUCCCCCUCUGUUUAUCGGAGAUGCAAUUCUUAAAUCAGGACGCGUGUUAUUCGAGGUUAAAGCAGGUUACUCGAUUAUAUCUGCUCGGAUGUAUCGCGAUGGAGGGAGAGGGACGGGGAGAGGGGAGGAGGAGGGCACGGUAUGCGCAUAUGCACGUUCCUGACCUAAUACAGUUAAACGUGCGCCGAUACACAUAUUAGCAACCUCAUUAACGGGAAAAGUUUAGAUAUUUAAUAGUCUAACUUUUUAUUGCUCGCCCAUCGAAAAUAGCGCGCGUGACGGAUAGCAACAGCCUCGGCGAUGGGGUUAAACCGUUCGGAAACUGGACGUAACUGAUCUCGUUCGUUUCAUUGGCGGCGGCGCGAGUGGAGGAAAAAAAAUCGAUCGAGAUUAACCGUGCACCGUGGCGUUGAUUAAAGCAUCGACGUUGUAUACACGGCUUGCUCGCGCCUAGAAACCGUUGCCGCCUCGUGCUUUUACGCGCCGCCGAUGAGAACUCGCGUCGCGUAAAAAAAAAAAGAAGAAA
Molecule: long non-coding RNA, 20837 nt
Filed under: Apis mellifera (honey bee)
Lineage: Eukaryota; Metazoa; Arthropoda; Insecta; Hymenoptera; Apidae
Description: uncharacterized LOC113219038
Source: RNAcentral